This 74-nucleotide transfer RNA is filed under the name Araneus ventricosus. It matches the Rfam family "tRNA". From Rfam's summary of the family: Transfer RNA (tRNA) molecules are approximately 80 nucleotides in length. The record is from Rfam by way of RNAcentral. Lineage: Eukaryota; Metazoa; Arthropoda; Arachnida; Araneae; Araneidae.
GUCUCUACGGCGCAGUCAGCUAGCGUGUUCGGCUGUUAACCGAAAGGUUAGUGGUUCGAGCCCACCUAGAGAGA